This 1020-nucleotide ribosomal RNA is filed under the name uncultured organism. RNAcentral's name for it is "bacterial SSU rRNA". It matches the Rfam family "Bacterial small subunit ribosomal RNA", at positions 349 to 1363 of the family's 1533-position model. The record is from RNAcentral.
CAGCAGUGGGGAAUAUUGGACAAUGGGCGAAAGCCUGAUCCAGCAAUGCCGCGUGUGUGAAGAAGGCCUGCGGGUUGUAAAGCACUUUCAGUGGGGAAGACAAGCCGAGGGUUAAUACCCCUAGGUCUUGACGUUACCCACAGAAGAAGCACCGGCUAACUCCGUGCCAGCAGCCGCGGUAAUACGGAGGGUGCAAGCGUUAAUCGGAAUUACUGGGCGUAAAGCGCACGUAGGCAGUGAGGUCAGUCAGAUGUGAAAGCCCCGGGCUCAACCUGGGAAUUGCAUUUGAUACUGCCUGGCUUGAGUAUGGUAGAGGGGGGUGCAAUUCCAGGUGUAGCGGUGAAAUGCGUACAUAUCUGGAGGAACACCAGUGGCGAAGGCGGCCCCCUGGAACACUACUGACGCUGAGGUGCCAAAGCGUUGGGAGCAACCAGGAUUAGAUACCCUGGUAGUCCACGCCGUUAACGAUGUCGACUAGCCGGUGGAUCCAUUUAAGGGUUUAGUGGCGCAGCUAACGCGAUAAGUCGACCGCCUGGGGAGUACGNCCGCAAGGUUAAAACUCUAAGGUAUUGACGGGGGCCCGCACAAGCGGUGGAGCAUGUGGUUUAAUUCGAUGCAACGCGAAGAACCUUACCAGCCCUUGACAUCCUUGGAACUGUCAGAGAUGACAGGUGCCUUCGGGAGCCAAGUGACAGGUGCUGCACGGCUGUCGUCAGCUCGUGUCGUGAGAUGUUGGGUUAAGUCCCGUAACGAGCGCAACCCUUGUCCUUAGUUGCCAGCGGUUCGGCCGGGAACUCUAAGGAGACUGCCGGUGAUAAACCGGAGGAAGGUGGGGAUGACGUCAAGUCAUCAUGGCCCUUAUGGGCUGGGCUACACACGUGCUACAAUGGUCGGUACAGAGGGUCGCGAAGCCGCGAGGUGGAGCCAAUCCCAGAAAGCCGAUCGUAGUCCGGAUUGCAGUCUGCAACUCGACUGCAUGAAGUCGGAAUCGCUAGUAUUCGCGAAUCAGCAUGUCGCGGU